GCCAAGGAAUCAAUCCUGCCUCUGUUGUGAAGCCUCCCUAGAAACCCAGGAGGAAGGGGUUCAGAGAGCUUCCGGAUCAGCAGACUUGAGCAGGUUUGGGGCCCGAGGUGCACCCGGGGAGGCCACGGGAGCUGUGCACCGUUUCCCCACACCUGGCCUCAUGCAUCUCUUCAUCUGGCUGCUCCUGAGUUACAUCCUGUUAUAAUCAACCGGCCAUGGGGAUCUCAUCUGGGCUCCCACGUGGCAUACUUGUCACGGCCACUUACUCUCCUCCUGUGUGGCGAAACUCCUAUAUCUUCCGUGAUCUUCUGUGACCUGAAUCCUUGUGAAGAAUAAUGAAGUAAGCAGCCAUGCAGAUGGAACGGAUUCCCAAACAUGACAAGAGAAGAAAACAUUUUCAAGUACACAGGAACAAAACUUUUGACACGGAAGGAGAAGGCACAUGUGUCUAAACACGCCACAUGGAAUACAGCU
Molecule: long non-coding RNA, 474 nt
Organism: Canis lupus familiaris (dog)
Lineage: Eukaryota; Metazoa; Chordata; Mammalia; Carnivora; Canidae
Exons: 3
Source: RefSeq, a predicted model, not a curated record